UUCGGCGGGCCGGAGGCUAGAGGCCAAGCUACGACCGCGUUCCCUGCGGCGGCGAAGCCCGUGCCAUCCCCGGUUCCGUGGGACGCAAUUCUCCCCGAUGGCGGACGCCGCAACCGGUCGGGUUGACAAAGAGUCGGCCGAAAGUUCGUGCGACGGCAGCUGCCCGUGCGGUGGUCGUGAGACCUCCAGCGCGGCGGAUAUAGCCAGCGCGUCCCAGGCGCGACACCCGAUCGUGGCGCAACGGUCCCGAAAUCGGGACCACCAGCCGUCCCCCUCCCGGCGGGCUUGCCGGCGGGUCGCGGUGGCGUUGGCGAACCACCCCUAGCGGUGGCCGUCGCGUCGCUGCGGUCCGCGUCAGGUAGUCAGUGUACCCGCGGGGGCGUGCUCCCUCCUCCGGAGGUUAGCGGCGAGUAGGUCGGUCACCCACCCGACCCGUCUUGAAACACGGACCAAGGAGUCUAACAUGUGCGCGAGUCAAAGGGUCUUGAACAGGCCCCCAGGCGCAAUGAAAGUGAACGGCGGUCCUGGAGACCGCCGAGAGUUGGGAUCCCCCGUCCCAAGCGGCGGGGGCGCACCAACGCCCCUCCCCGUCCGGUUCGCCGGUGGGGCGGAGGCUGAGCGCACACGUUGGGACCCGAAAGAUGGUGAACUAUGCCUGGACAGGACGAAGCCAGAGGAAACUCUGGUGGAGGUCCGAGCGGU
Molecule: ribosomal RNA, 702 nt
Filed under: Scytodes sp. 4 YFL-2022a
Lineage: Eukaryota; Metazoa; Arthropoda; Arachnida; Araneae; Scytodidae
Description: partial large subunit ribosomal RNA
Rfam family: Eukaryotic large subunit ribosomal RNA (bases 449-702)
Source: RNAcentral